GAUUGAACGCUGGCGGCAUGCCUUACACAUGCAAGUCGAACGGCAGCACGGGUGCUUGCACCUGGUGGCGAGUGGCGAACGGGUGAGUAAUACAUCGGAACAUGUCCUGUAGUGGGGGAUAGCCCGGCGAAAGCCGGAUUAAUACCGCAUACGAUCUACGGAUGAAAGCGGGGGACCUUCGGGCCUCGCGCUAUAGGGUUGGCCGAUGGCUGAUUAGCUAGUUGGUGGGGUAAAGGCCUACCAAGGCGACGAUCAGUAGCUGGUCUGAGAGGACGACCAGCCACACUGGGACUGAGACACGGCCCAGACUCCUACGGGAGGCAGCAGUGGGGAAUUUUGGACAAUGGGCGAAAGCCUGAUCCAGCAAUGCCGCGUGUGUGAAGAAGGCCUUCGGGUUGUAAAGCACUUUUGUCCGGAAAGAAAUCCUUGGCUCUAAUACAGUCGGGGGAUGACGGUACCGGAAGAAUAAGCACCGGCUAACUACGUGCCAGCAGCCGCGGUAAUACGUAGGGUGCGAGCGUUAAUCGGAAUUACUGGGCGUAAAGCGUGCGCAGGCGGUUUGCUAAGACCGAUGUGAAAUCCCCGGGCUCAACCUGGGAACUGCAUUGGUGACUGGCAGGCUAGAGUAUGGCAGAGGGGGGUAGAAUUCCACGUGUAGCAGUGAAAUGCGUAGAGAUGUGGAGGAAUACCGAUGGCGAAGGCAGCCCCCUGGGCCAAUACUGACGCUCAUGCACGAAAGCGUGGGGGAGCAAACAGGAUUAGAUACCCUGGUAGUCCACGCCCUAAACGAUGUCAACUAGUUGUUGGGGAUUCAUUUCCUUAGUAACGUAGCUAACGCGUGAAGUUGACCGCCUGGGGAGUACGGUCGCAAGAUUAAAACUCAAAGGAAUUGACGGGGACCCGCACAAGCGGUGGAUGAUGUGAAUUAAUUCGAUGCAACGCGAAAAACCUUACCUACCCUUGACAUGGUCGGAAUCCCGCUGAGAGGUGGGAGUGCUCGAAAGAGAACCGGCGCACAGGUGCUGCAUGGCUGUCGUCAGCUCGUGUCGUGAGAUGUUGGGUUAAGUCCCGCAACGAGCGCAACCCUUGUCCUUAGUUGCUACGCAAGAGCACUCUAAGGAGACUGCCGGUGACAAACCGGAGGAAGGUGGGGAUGACGUCAAGUCCUCAUGGCCCUUAUGGGUAGGGCUUCACACGUCAUACAAUGGUCGGAACAGAGGGUUGCCAACCCGCGAGGGGGAGCUAAUCCCAGAAAACCGAUCGUAGUCCGGAUUGCACUCUGCAACUCGAGUGCAUGAAGCUGGAAUCGCUAGUAAUCGCGGAUCAGCAUGCCGCGGUGAAUGCGUUCCCGGGUCUUGUACACACCG
Molecule: ribosomal RNA, 1367 nt
Filed under: uncultured beta proteobacterium
Lineage: Bacteria; Pseudomonadati; Pseudomonadota; Betaproteobacteria
Description: bacterial SSU rRNA
Rfam family: Bacterial small subunit ribosomal RNA
Source: RNAcentral